Molecule: ribosomal RNA, 404 nt
Filed under: Acinetobacter johnsonii
Lineage: Bacteria; Pseudomonadati; Pseudomonadota; Gammaproteobacteria; Moraxellales; Moraxellaceae
Description: bacterial SSU rRNA
Rfam family: Bacterial small subunit ribosomal RNA
Source: RNAcentral
GGGAUCUUCGGACCUUGCGCUAAUAGAUGAGCCUAAGUCAGAUUAGCUAGUUGGUGGGGUAAAGGCCUACCAAGGCGACGAUCUGUAGCGGGUCUGAGAGGAUGAUCCGCCACACUGGGACUGAGACACGGCCCAGACUCCUACGGGAGGCAGCAGUGGGGAAUAUUGGACAAUGGGCGAAAGCCUGAUCCAGCCAUGCCGCGUGUGUGAAGAAGGCCUUUUGGUUGUAAAGCACUUUAAGCGAGGAGGAGGCUACUGGGAUUAAUACUCUAGGAUAGUGGACGUUACUCGCAGAAUAAGCACCGGCUAACUCUGUGCCAGCAGCCGCGGUAAUACAGAGGGUGCGAGCGUUAAUCGGAUUUACUGGGCGUAAAGCGUGCGUAGGCGGCUUUUUAAGUCGGAUG